This 478-nucleotide ribosomal RNA is filed under the name uncultured bacterium. RNAcentral describes it as "partial 16S ribosomal RNA". It matches the Rfam family "Bacterial small subunit ribosomal RNA", at positions 28 to 523 of the family's 1533-position model. The record is from RNAcentral.
GACGAACGCUGGCGGCGUGCUUAACACAUGCAAGUCGAACGGUAAGGCCCUUCGGGGUACACGAGUGGCGAACGGGUGAGUAACACGUGGGUGAUCUGCCCUGCACUUCGGGAUAAGCCUGGGAAACUAGGUCUAAUACCGGAUAGGACCACUGCCUGCAUGGGUGGUGGUUGAAAGCUUUUGCGGUGUGGGAUGGGCCCGCGGCCUAUCAGCUUGUUGGUGGGAUGAUGGCCUACCAAGGCGACGACGGGUAGCCGGCCUGAGAGGGUGACCGGCCACACUGGGACUGAGAUACGGCCCAGACUCCUACGGGAGGCAGCAGUGGGGAAUAUUGCACAAUGGGCGCAAGCCUGAUGCAGCGACGCCGCGUGAGGGAUGACGGCCUUCGGGUUGUAAACCUCUUUCAGCACCGGCGAAGCGCAAGUGACGGUAGGUGCAGAAGAAGGACCGGCCAACUACGUGCCAGCAGCCGCGGUAA